CCUAUUAUAAUAAUUUAAAUUAAUAGAAUAAGAAAUUAAAUGUUUAAUCAUUAAAUUUAAAAGAUUUGGCGGUAUUUUAUAUUAUUAGAGGAACCUGUAUAAUGAUUGAUAAUCCACGAUAAGAAAAACUUAAUUUAAAAUUUAUGUAUUGCUGUUUAAAGAUUAUUAUAAAUUAAAUUUUCAUAUAAUUAAAUUAUAAUUUAAUUCAAGUCAAAAUAUAGUUUAAUUAAGAUUAAUAUGGGUUACUAUAUUUUAAAAAUUUAUUGGAUGAAUAUAAUUUAAUUUUAUUUUGAAAUUGGAUUUAAUAGUAAAUUUAAUAAAUUAAUUAUUUUGAAAAAUUAAUAAAAUAAGUACAAAU
RNAcentral lists this ribosomal RNA (358 nucleotides) under Protonectarina sylveirae. RNAcentral describes it as "partial 12S ribosomal RNA". The record is from RNAcentral. Lineage: Eukaryota; Metazoa; Arthropoda; Insecta; Hymenoptera; Vespidae.